GACGAACGCUGGCGGCGUGCUUAACACAUGCAAGUCGAACGGUAAGGCCCUUCGGGGUACACGAGUGGCGAACGGGUGAGUAACACGUGGGUGAUCUGCCCUGCACUUCGGGAUAAGCCUGGGAAACUGGGUCUAAUACCGGAUAGGACCACUGCAUGCAUGGGUGGUGUGGGAAAGCUUUUGCGGUGUGGGAUGGGCCCGCGGCCUAUCAGCUUGUUGGUGGGGUGAUGGCCUACCAAGGCGACGACGGGUAGCCGGCCUGAGAGGGUGACCGGCCACACUGGGACUGAGAUGCGGCCCAGACUCCUACGGGAGGCAGCAGUGGGGAAUAUUGCACAAUGGGCGCGAGCCUGAUGCAGCGACGCCGCGUGAGGGAUGACGGCCUUCGGGUUGUAAACCUCUUUCAGCACCGACGAAGCGCAAGUGACGGUAGGUGCAGAAGAAGGACCGGCCAACUACGUGCCAGCCGCCGCGGUAA
Molecule: ribosomal RNA, 478 nt
Filed under: uncultured bacterium
Lineage: Bacteria
Description: partial 16S ribosomal RNA
Rfam family: Bacterial small subunit ribosomal RNA
Source: RNAcentral